ACGAAAAGCAAACAAAUCGCAAUUUGCAUACAUACACACAAGACUCUUUCCUCCCCAUACCCCUCGGUACGCGACCGCACAGUCAAGCACAACAAUAUAAUUUUAGAAGCAAAGCAGCGGGAGAAGAGGAAGAAGAAGAAGACUCUU
Caenorhabditis elegans is the source of this 147-nucleotide non-coding RNA. The record is from Ensembl. NCBI's taxonomy places the organism in Eukaryota, Metazoa, Nematoda, Chromadorea, Rhabditida, Rhabditidae.